AGUGAACGCUGGCGGUAGGCCUAACACAUGCAAGUCGAACGGCAGCACAGUAAGAGCUUGCUCUUACGGGUGGCGAGUGGCGGACGGGUGAGGAAUACAUCGGAUUCUACUUUUUCGUGGGGGAUAACGUAGGGAAACUUACGCUAAUACCGCAUACGACCUACGGGUGAAAUCAGGAGAUAUUCGGACCUUGCGCGAUUGUAUGAGCCGAUGUCGGAUUAGCUAGUUGGCGGGGUAAAGGCCCACCAAGGCGACGAUCCGUAGCUGGUCUGAGAGGAUGAUCGGCCACACUGGAACUGAGACACGGUCCAGACUCCUACGGGAGGCAGCAGUGGGGAAUCUUGGACAAUGGGCGCAAGCCUGAUCCAGCCAUACCGCGUGGGUGAAGAAGGUCUUCGGGUUGUAAAGCCCUUUUGUUGGGAAAGAAAAGCAGCAGGUUAAUACCCCGCUGUUCUGACGGUACCCAAAGAAUAAGCACCGGCUAACUUCGUG
This 492-nucleotide ribosomal RNA is filed under the name uncultured bacterium. RNAcentral describes it as "partial 16S ribosomal RNA". It matches the Rfam family "Bacterial small subunit ribosomal RNA", at positions 29 to 507 of the family's 1533-position model. The record is from RNAcentral.